ACCGAUUUUAUUUUUCGAGUUAAGCCAGUCGCAAACGCGCUAAUGGACAAAGAAAUUCGUAUGGUAUUAUAGGUACAUCAACAUCUAAGAAAAGUUAUUUUAUGAAUUCUCACGUGCGUUAGUAAAAUAUGGUUGUAAAUAAACGGUCGUAAAGAAACCGCGUGUUUUAUAAUUGAAUUACAAAACGCCAUCUUCACUGUCCUGCUAACGCACAAAAAGGCGACCAUCGUGCA
Molecule: non-coding RNA, 233 nt
Organism: Cinara cedri
Lineage: Eukaryota; Metazoa; Arthropoda; Insecta; Hemiptera; Aphididae
Source: the annotation of a GenBank genome assembly